This is a small nucleolar RNA of Sapajus apella (tufted capuchin), 103 nucleotides long. RefSeq annotates it as small nucleolar RNA U13. NCBI's taxonomy places the organism in Eukaryota, Metazoa, Chordata, Mammalia, Primates, Cebidae. The record is from RefSeq and is a predicted model, not a curated record. The transcript has a single exon.
AUCCUUUUGUAGCUCAUGAGCAUGAUGACUGGGCAUUCACACAGAUGUGUGAGAGUGCCACCCUCAAACCUCAUUUCGACGUUGGCACAUUACCUAUCUGACU